Molecule: non-coding RNA, 69 nt
Organism: Phytophthora infestans T30-4
Lineage: Eukaryota; Oomycota; Peronosporomycetes; Peronosporales; Peronosporaceae
Source: the annotation of a RefSeq genome assembly
UCCCUUUUAGCUCAAUGGUUGAGCGCUGACUUUGGGAGCCACAGGCCGGGAGUUCGAACCCACUAGGAC